GACGUAGGGGGCCAGCGUUGUUCGGAAUUACUGGGUGUAAAGGGUUCGUAGGCGGUGUGGCAAGUUGGGAGUGAAAUCUCUGGGCUCAACCCAGAGGCUGCUUCCAAAACUGCUGUGCUUGAGUGUGGGAGAGGCGAGUGGAAUUACGGGUGUAGCGGUGAAAUGCGUAGAUAUCCGGAGGAACAGCCGAGGCGAAAGCGGCUCGCUGGAUCACAACUGACGCUGAGGGACGAAAGCGAGGGGAGCAAACAGG
RNAcentral lists this ribosomal RNA (253 nucleotides) under uncultured bacterium. RNAcentral's name for it is "partial 16S ribosomal RNA". It matches the Rfam family "Bacterial small subunit ribosomal RNA", at positions 524 to 776 of the family's 1533-position model. The record is from RNAcentral.